This 487-nucleotide ribosomal RNA is filed under the name uncultured bacterium. Its description in RNAcentral is "partial 16S ribosomal RNA". It matches the Rfam family "Bacterial small subunit ribosomal RNA", at positions 899 to 1397 of the family's 1533-position model. The record is from RNAcentral.
ACUCAAAUGAAUUGACGGGGACUCGCACAAGCGGUGGAUUAUGUGGCUCAAUUCGUCGACAAACGAAGAACCUUACCAAGGUUAGAAAUCCAGCUGCAUUCUUGAUGAAAGUCGAGAAGCCUUCGAGGGUGCUGGACAGGUGAUGCAUGGUCGUCGUCAGUUCGUGGUUUGAACUGUUCCCUUCAGUGGGGUAACGAACGCAACCCCCGUUGUCUGUUGCCUAUAUGGUCAGACGAGACUGCUCCCUCACGGGAGAGGAAGGUGGGGAUGACGCCAGAUCAGCAUGUCCCUCUGAUACCUUGGGCUGCACACAUAAUACAAUGGUCGGUACAAAGGGAUGCAAGACCGCAAGGUGGAGCAAAUCCCUAAAACCGUCCUCAGUACGGAUUGAGGUCUGCAAUCGACCUCAUGAAGCUGGAAUCGCUAGUAAUCCUGGGUCAGCCAAACCAGGGUGAAUACGUUCUCGAGUCUUGUACACACCGCCCGU